UCUGGUAAUGAUGGCAGAGAGGUCACACCCGUUCCCAUACCGAACACGGAAGUUAAGCUCUCUAGCGCCGAUGGUAGUUGGGACCUUGUCCCUGUGAGAGUCCAUUUAGGCCCACCAUAA
This 120-nucleotide ribosomal RNA is filed under the name Pseudomonas sp. Lineage: Bacteria; Pseudomonadati; Pseudomonadota; Gammaproteobacteria; Pseudomonadales; Pseudomonadaceae. The record is from RNAcentral.